Molecule: ribosomal RNA, 2477 nt
Filed under: Triticum aestivum (bread wheat)
Lineage: Eukaryota; Viridiplantae; Streptophyta; Magnoliopsida; Poales; Poaceae
Description: partial small subunit ribosomal RNA
Source: RNAcentral
CAGGUCUGCAAAUUCUAGGCAAACUCCGCAGGCCAACCCAGCUUUAAAAUACUGGCCAGUCACUGGCCCGCCGAUCGGUCCUGACUAAUUCCUCCCAAACCCCACCGUCCUACAUCUACGAGACUCAGAUGAAUAGAUGCUGUUCACACUAGGUAACUCCCAACUCCGUUACUAAACGUUACGGCAUCUAGGUAACUCCGUUACCAAACGGUUGCCCGCUGAUUCAGGUUCAACGGCUAUUCACUACUCAAUCGUUGGUGUCGAAACCGUAUUACUGUCCGUUUCGGCCGCUUUAUGUUACGUGGCCCGUUACGUCCUGCUAGCGUAGGGUGUCCUCGGAGUUGACUGCACGGGGCUGCAGCUUAGUCUAGUGCAUUCCAUCGAGGGCCCGGGUGGCCGCGCGCGAGACGUUACGGCCCGGGUGGGCAGUCUCGCGGGCAGUUCGUGCAAAUAAUACCAUUCCAAGUACUCCUCAUGUGCGGCGACGGGAAGGUAAGGUAAGGUAAGGUCUGGGCAGCUCUCUGGCGCGCCUGACACAUCGCACAGCGCCCUCUCUUCGGGUUUCGAAACCGCCUCGGUACCGCCUCCUUUGGCCUCGCUGCCGCCGAAGUCCCAGCCGUCGCCCGUUCUACUGCUACCACCAGCCCCACCUGCUCUCGCUCGUGUCGAUGAUGCGCGACGUCACCUGCGAGGAGGUGAAGAAGAGGGGCCCGGUCGUCGUCGUCAUGGCGGAGCAGCAGCAGUGUCGGUUCGGGUGGCGGCGCAGGCGGCAGCCGGAGCGGCCUGGUCCACGGCGUCUCCACGACGGCAAGCAACUCCGCCUGGACUUCGCCUCGAGCGACGCGCAGUAGCUGUUCCGGUUCCUCGAGACGCGCGUCCACUCGCUACGACAGAAACUUCACCACCUUCCCCUACGCUCCUUGCAGGAGACGCUCCGCCAGCUUUCCGUAGUGCGUCUCUACAACCAACACCCGUUGGUACCGAUACCUCGUUAGUUUUCCCGACAAGAACCUUCACACUCGCUAAUGACGUGGGUGGUGCGCGUGACAUGACACUACUAACACUUCUUUGGUUUCGUGUUCGUGACUCGUUGCGGGUCGAGUCACUAAUCAUAAACUCGAAAGCACACAUAUCGGUUACACACGUACAAACACUUAUUUACCUAGCGCCUACAGUGUUAAGUGUUGAAGUCUCAUCGCUUGAGGACGUUCACCGGGUGUUAUAGGAUGUACACCUAAGAACUAACUCUACCACUUAUUGACUACUGCACGGAGUAGUCUUGUCACAAUAAACACUACGUCUACGUAGUUAACGUGCUUACAACAUACAUAUACAUUAGUUCUGACGUUCAAGGAACGUCACCUGUGCACACAAACGAAGAAUAGCUUCACACUAAACAUUUACAUACGAAGAAGACAAGUCUAAAAAAUUAGGGGAACGUUUUCCUCUGAUUUUUUUUCCUUGUUUUAAACUAUCGGUGUCCUGUGCCUCCAUUGGACGCGCGAAGGGCGCGAGGCCCAGGAGGAGGGUCGGCGAUCGGGGUAAAAGGGUCUCCAUGUUUGGCAGGCGAAGUAGUCGACGAAGGGAAGAAAAGAACAAGUAGUAGUAGUUUCGGUCGGUUCAACUCCGGUGAUCCAUUGCCUUGACCGAGUUCCUUUGUACCGCCGCCUCCCUCUCCGGGAGUACCGUCGCCUCUCCCGUCUCUGCAGAUGACGUGGCCGCCACCCCCGCCUUAGUCCUCGUUUGCCCUUCGGCCGCCGCUCGCCCUUCGGCCGCUACCACGACCCCUAGCUGCUCUCGCUCGUGUCGAUGAUGCGCGACCUCACCUGCUAGGUGGUAAAGAAGCGGGGGCCGGUCGGCGUCGUCAUGGUGGAGUAGCACCAGUCGCGGUUCGGGGGACGGCGGAGGCAGUAGCCGUAGCGGCCGUAUCCGUGCCGCCUCGACGAGGGCUCCCACCUCGAGCUGGAGUUCGCGCGGAGGCGGUCUCAGUAGCUGUUCCGGUUCCUCGUCACGAGUGUACACUGGCUGCAGUCGAUACUUCACUUUCUCCCGCUGCGCUCCUUACACGACACGCUCCGUCAACUCUCCGUAGUACGUCUGUACGACCAAUACCCGUCGGUACCGAUGCCGCGAAAGUUCUCCCGGCAGGAACCCUCGCACUCGCUAAUGACGUGAGUGUUGCGCGUGACGUGGCACUACUAUCACUUCUUUGGUUUCGUGGUAUUCUUCGUACUUGUUAACCCCAAGGUGUCUUUCCUCCGAACUUUUUCAAAAAUUCCGGGAAUCCAAUCUCUAUCUAUACUUUCUCCAAAUCCGGACGCACAAGUUCAUAAUUGGCUAACGGAACGUCUAGUUAUACACCAGAGUAUCGCUUGACUCGAUUUGAGUCUACCAAUCCAAGGAACACAACCUUGGUUGGGUUAUCAAGUUGAGGAUCUGAACCGUGAUCACCAGCGUAAAAAGACCUAAAUAAAGUC